This is a long non-coding RNA of Rosa chinensis, 1179 nucleotides long. RefSeq lists it as uncharacterized. NCBI's taxonomy places the organism in Eukaryota, Viridiplantae, Streptophyta, Magnoliopsida, Rosales, Rosaceae. The record is from RefSeq and is a predicted model, not a curated record. The transcript is spliced from 3 exons.
UUGGUCGAGUAUAGUUCAUGUCUUUUGUCUUCUCAACUUUGACAAGGGAACUAGCUGGAUCAGUGUUUACUUUGUAAUCAAUUAUAGCUUGUAUUGAAUGGAUCCAUUAGCCUAACUGCAUAUAAGAUUACUUUGGAGUGAUCUUUACACGUACUAUUUUGAUCAGAUUUUUAUUUCAUUUUGGAUUCAACCAUUUGUGAAGAACAUUUUUCUUCGAGACUCUGAAAUGAUGCAUGUGGUCAUCCAGUAUUACUCUGAUGAUUGGCCAACAAAUGUUGUUAUAUAUCAGUUUGUGCAGGAAUUUCACUUCUUUGUGACUAGAGGUGACGAUGAAAAUGAACUCAUUUUAGCAACUCGACUUCAGGGAUUCUUUGAUUGGAGCUGCAACUGCACUUGAAGUUAGAGCCACAGGCAUUCCAUAUGUCUUUGCACCUUGCAUAGUGGUUUGUAGAGAUCCAAGAUGGGGUCGUUGUUACGAAAGCUAUGGUGAAGAUCAUAAGGUUGUUCAAGCAUUGACUCAUAUCAUACCUGGAUUACAAGGAGAUAUACCACCUAACUCUACAAAGGGAACACCCUUUGUAGCUGGAAAAGAGUAGAACAAGGGGAGGGAUUAUGGAAAAUACAUCAGAUCCGGGGAGCAUGUAUGGUCCGUGAUAGAGACUGGUAAACCUUUUUUUGCAGUGAUGACAUUCAUUAGUUCUUCUUUCUGUUAUGUAUAGCUUUAUAAACUCGGUUUCGCCUUGCAGGAUCAGCUGAGAGCCAACGUGGAACAAUUGUGUUCCUUCACGGGGCUCCCACUCAGUCUUAUAGCUACAGAAAUGUUAUGUCUCAGGUCUGUUGUAUCUUGCUUUGUAUGUUAUUUAGUACCUGUACAUAUUCAUUUUGGUGAUUUUGGCUUACUGUAAAUGCUUAUGGCAAAAGGCUUAAGAAACACAUUAGUUCAUCUCAGAGCAGUUGUUUCAUCAUCCCAAGUUCAUGUAACUUGAAUCUUUAAUUUGGCUACACAAGUUUAUUUAUCACCUUAUACUUUGUUUUGGGGACAAUAUAAUGUGCAUUAAUUUUGUUUUUCAGAAGAUUUAUGUUUCCACUACAGAAAAGGAGUUCCACGACGAAUUUGACAGAUUACUAGAUGUUUAUGCAAGCGACAUUUCUCUUUUUGCUGACAGCCAUGAUUUUAUA